AAAUUGAAGAGUUUGAUCAUGGCUCAGAUUGAACGCUGGCGGCAGGCCUAACACAUGCAAGUCGAGCGGUAGCACAGAGAGCUUGCUCUCGGGUGACGAGCGGCGGACGGGUGAGUAAUGUCUGGGAAACUGCCUGAUGGAGGGGGAUAACUACUGGAAACGGUAGCUAAUACCGCAUAAUGUCGCAAGACCAAAGUGGGGGACCUUCGGGCCUCAUGCCAUCAGAUGUGCCCAGAUGGGAUUAGCUAGUAGGUGGGGUAACGGCUCACCUAGGCGACGAUCCCUAGCUGGUCUGAGAGGAUGACCAGCCACACUGGAACUGAGACACGGUCCAGACUCCUACGGGAGGCAGCAGUGGGGAAUAUUGCACAAUGGGCGCAAGCCUGAUGCAGCCAUGCCGCGUGUGUGAAGAAGGCCUUCGGGUUGUAAAGCACUUUCAGCGGGGAGGAAGGCGUUAAGGUUAAUAACCUUGGCGAUUGACGUUACCCGCAGAAGAAGCACCGGCUAACUCCGUGCCAGCAGCCGCGGUAAUACGGAGGGUGCAAGCGUUAAUCGGAAUUACUGGGCGUAAAGCGCACGCAGGCGGUCUGUCAAGUCGGAUGUGAAAUCCCCGGGCUCAACCUGGGAACUGCAUUCGAAACUGGCAGGCUAGAGUCUUGUAGAGGGGGGUAGAAUUCCAGGUGUAGCGGUGAAAUGCGUAGAGAUCUGGAGGAAUACCGGUGGCGAAGGCGGCCCCCUGGACAAAGACUGACGCUCAGGUGCGAAAGCGUGGGGAGCAAACAGGAUUAGAUACCCUCGGUAGUCCACGCCGUAAACGAUGUCGAUUUGGAGGUUGUGCCCUUGAGGCGUGGCUUCCGGAGCUAACGCGUUAAAUCGACCGCCUGGGGAGUACGGCCGCAAGGUUAAAACUCAAAUGAAUUGACGGGGGCCCGCACAAGCGGUGGAGCAUGUGGUUUAAUUCGAUGCAACGCGAAGAACCUUACCCUGGUCUUGACAUCCACAGAACUUUCCAGAGAUGGAUUGGUGCCUUCGGGAACUGUGAGACAGGUGCUGCAUGGCUGUCGUCAGCUCGUGUUGUGAAAUGUUGGGUUAAGUCCCGCAACGAGCGCAACCCUUAUCCUUUGUUGCCAGCGGUUAGGCCGGGAACUCAAAGGAGACUGCCAGUGAUAAACUGGAGGAAGGUGGGGAUGACGUCAAGUCAUCAUGGCCCUUACGACCAGGGCUACACACGUGCUACAAUGGCAUAUACAAAGAGAAGCGACCUCGCGAGAGCAAGCGGACCUCAUAAAGUAUGUCGUAGUCCGGAUUGGAGUCUGCAACUCGACUCCAUGAAGUCGGAAUCGCUAGUAAUCGUAGAUCAGAAUGCUACGGUGAAUACGUUCCCGGGCCUUGUACACACCGCCCGUCACACCAUGGGAGUGGGUUGCAAAAGAAGUAGGUAGCUUAACCUUCGGGAGGGCGCUUACCACUUUGUGAUUCAUGACUGGGGUGAAGUCGUAACAAGGUAACCGUAGGGGAACCUGCGGUUGGAUCACCUCCUUACCUUAAAGAA
This 1552-nucleotide ribosomal RNA is filed under the name Klebsiella pneumoniae. Its description in RNAcentral is "bacterial SSU rRNA". It matches the Rfam family "Bacterial small subunit ribosomal RNA". Lineage: Bacteria; Pseudomonadati; Pseudomonadota; Gammaproteobacteria; Enterobacterales; Enterobacteriaceae. The record is from RNAcentral.